Molecule: ribosomal RNA, 478 nt
Filed under: uncultured bacterium
Lineage: Bacteria
Description: partial 16S ribosomal RNA
Rfam family: Bacterial small subunit ribosomal RNA
Source: RNAcentral
GAUGAACACUAGCGGCAGGCCUAACACAUGCAAGUCGAGGGAGAAGCCCUUUCGGGGGCAGAAACCGGCGCACGGGUGCGUAACGCGCAUGCAACCUACCUUUCACAGGGGGAUAGCCCGAAGAAAUUUGGAUUAAUACCCCAUAAUAUUAUUGGAUGGCAUCAUUUGAUAAUUAAAACUGCGGUGGUGAAAGAUGGGCAUGCGUCCUAUUAGCUAGUUGGAGUGGUAACGGCACCCCAAGGCUACGAUAGGUAGGGGUCCUGAGAGGGAGAUCCCCCACACUGGUACUGAGACAGGGACCAGACUCCUACGGGAGGCAGCAGUGAGGAAUAUUGGUCAAUGGUCGGAAGACUGAACCAGCCAUGCCGCGUGCAGGAAGAAUGCCUUAUGGGUUGUAAACUGCUUUUAUAUGGGAAGAAUAAGGCGUACGUGUACGUUGAUGACGGUACCAUAUGAAUAAGCAUCGGCUAACUCCGUG